RNAcentral lists this transfer RNA (64 nucleotides) under Lauridromia dehaani. RNAcentral describes it as "tRNA-His". Lineage: Eukaryota; Metazoa; Arthropoda; Malacostraca; Decapoda; Dromiidae. The record is from RNAcentral.
ACUUGGAUAGUUUAAAAAAAAUAUUGACUUGUGGCGUCAAAGAUGUAAAUAUUUACUUUAAGUA